GCAAGUCGAACGGUAACAGGGAUUAGCUUGCUAAUCCGCUGACGAGUGUCGCACGGGUGCGUAACGCGUAUACAAUCUGCCUUUAAGCGGGGAAUAGCCCAUGGAAACGUGGAUUAAUACCCCAUAGUAUGUAGACUUCACCUGGAGAUUACAUUAAACAUUUAUGGCUUAAAGAUGAGUAUGCGUCCUAUUAGUUAGUUGGUAAGGUAACGGCUUACCAAGACGGCGAUAGGGAGGGGUCCUGAGAGGGAGAGC
RNAcentral lists this ribosomal RNA (255 nucleotides) under uncultured bacterium. RNAcentral's name for it is "partial 16S ribosomal RNA". It matches the Rfam family "Bacterial small subunit ribosomal RNA", at positions 57 to 305 of the family's 1533-position model. The record is from RNAcentral.